Capnocytophaga haemolytica is the source of this 58-nucleotide non-coding RNA. The record is from Rfam. Lineage: Bacteria; Pseudomonadati; Bacteroidota; Flavobacteriia; Flavobacteriales; Flavobacteriaceae.
UAACUUUGCCGCCGAAUUAAAAAACGUACAUAAUAAUCAUUAAAUUAAUAUUGGAAUG